Molecule: ribosomal RNA, 409 nt
Filed under: uncultured bacterium
Lineage: Bacteria
Description: bacterial SSU rRNA
Rfam family: Bacterial small subunit ribosomal RNA
Source: RNAcentral
CAGCAGCCGCGGUAAUACGUAGGGUGCGAGCGUUGCCCGGAUUUAUUGGGCGUAAAGGGCGCGUAGGCGGUCACGCACGUCCGUUGUGAAAUCGCUCGGCUCAACUGGGCGGGGUCAGCGGAUACGGCGUGGCUGGAGCAAGCUAGGGGGCAAUGGAAUUCCCGGUGUAGUGGUGGAAUGCGUAGAUAUCGGGAGGAACACCAGUGGCGAAGGCGGUUGCCUGGAGCUUUGCUGACGCUGAUGCGCGAAAGCGUGGGGAGCGAUCCGGAUUAGAUACCCGGGUAGUCCACGCCGUAAACGAUGCGGACUAGGUGUCGGGGGUAUCGACCCCCUCGGCGCCGCAGCUAACGCCUUAAGUCCGCCGCCUGGGGACUACGGCCGCAAGGCUAAAACUCAAAGGAAUUGACGG